AUCCCCCCGGACCCCGAUGAUGAUGACGUCACUUACAUGGGCUACGUGCACGUUCUGCCGGACCAGGAGGUGACAAACGGGUCCCCCCCGGGGGGUGACAGCGAGUCCUCGGCUCAAGGUGACGAUUACGUGAACGUCCCCAAAGGCGCCGGGAGCUCGUUGGGGGGCAGCCAGGAGUACGUCAACGUCCCCUCCCCCCACACCGG
This 206-nucleotide long non-coding RNA is filed under the name Columba livia (rock pigeon). Its description in RNAcentral is "partial uncharacterized LOC102092990". The record is from RNAcentral. Lineage: Eukaryota; Metazoa; Chordata; Aves; Columbiformes; Columbidae.